This is a non-coding RNA of Blastocladiella britannica, 72 nucleotides long. The record is from the annotation of a GenBank genome assembly. Lineage: Eukaryota; Fungi; Blastocladiomycota; Blastocladiomycetes; Blastocladiales; Blastocladiaceae.
GGCUCGUUGGCGCAACGGUAGCGCGUUUGACUCCAGAUCAAAAGGUUGUAGGUUCAAAUCCUGCACGGGUCA